RNAcentral lists this ribosomal RNA (253 nucleotides) under uncultured bacterium. Its description in RNAcentral is "partial 16S ribosomal RNA". It matches the Rfam family "Bacterial small subunit ribosomal RNA", at positions 524 to 776 of the family's 1533-position model. The record is from RNAcentral.
UACGUAGGGAGCAAGCGUUGUCCGGAAUCAUUGGGCGUAAAGCGCGCGUAGGCGGCCCCGUGAGUCCGCUGUGAAAGUCAAAGGCUCAACCUUUGAAAGCCGGUGGAUACUGUGGGGCUAGAGUCCGGAAGAGGCGAGUGGAAUUCCUGGUGUAGCGGUGGAAUGCGCAGAUAUCAGGAGGAACACCGGUGGCGAAGGCGGGUCUCUGGGCCGUAACUGACGCUGAGGAGCGAAAGCAUGGGGAGCGAACAGG